GGAGAGGUGGCCGAGUGGUCGAAGGCACUUCACUGCUAACGAAGCAUACCCUAAACCGGUAUCCAGGGUUCGAAUCCCUGUCUCUCCUCCA
Molecule: transfer RNA, 91 nt
Filed under: Minisyncoccota bacterium
Lineage: Bacteria; Bacillati; Minisyncoccota
Description: tRNA-Ser
Rfam family: tRNA
About the family: Transfer RNA (tRNA) molecules are approximately 80 nucleotides in length. Their secondary structure includes four short double-helical elements and three loops (D, anti-codon, and T loops).
Source: RNAcentral